This is a long non-coding RNA of Bubalus bubalis (water buffalo), 775 nucleotides long. RefSeq lists it as uncharacterized. NCBI's taxonomy places the organism in Eukaryota, Metazoa, Chordata, Mammalia, Artiodactyla, Bovidae. The record is from RefSeq and is a predicted model, not a curated record. The transcript is spliced from 3 exons.
GCAGCGCGCCACGGGCACUCGGACCACACAGCGGGGGAAGGCUGCCAGCAGGCCGCCUGAGGCCGCAUCCAGCUCCAGGCUCAGCAGCCGCUGCCCUGUCUCGCCAUCUCCAGACCAUCCACACCUGGGGGUGAGCAGACUGGUCUCAAAUUCCUCCAGGAAGACACUGGGUCCCGUGGUACCCGAGGCACUGGCGUUGGGCCAGACAAGGAACUUGAGGACGGUGCCUGCCUCAGACCCCAGGAAGACAACGGUCUGGUUGCCCCAGGGGCCGGCGCCCACGUCCACAGCCACUCGUGUCAGCUGGUGCCUGGGGCCAGGGUGGAGCAGAAGUCAGGCUGCCGCCCAGCCCCGUGUCCCCUGCGUGCACUCAAAGACACCACCCAUGCUGGGCAAUGUGGGCAUGGGCGUGGCUCCAAGGGUGCACAUCACAGAGAGAAACAGAUCCCCAAAGCCAGCUCCUCCCUGGGCUCUCCUGUCUUCAUCUCCCCAUCUGCCUCCAUCUCUGUGUCUCCCUCCAUCUCUGCCUUCCCCUCGUGUCAUGUCGGAAGUUGCCCCUGUGCUCCCUUCUCGCCCACCACCCUGGCCUGGGCUCUUGUCCCCACCCAGGCCUGGCCACCAGGACCCCAGCCAAGUGUAGGAACUGACCGCAUCAGAGUCCGAACGAUCCAGGGUGCGUGGCCCAGGGAGGGCACGGCCUCAUCCAUCAGAGGGUGGAUUCUUUACCGUCUGAGCCACCAGGGAAGCCCAAGAAUACCGGAGGGGGUAGCCUAUC